This 73-nucleotide transfer RNA is filed under the name Dibranchus sp. YXL-2021. Its description in RNAcentral is "tRNA-Ile". It matches the Rfam family "tRNA". Rfam says of the family: Transfer RNA (tRNA) molecules are approximately 80 nucleotides in length. Lineage: Eukaryota; Metazoa; Chordata; Actinopteri; Lophiiformes; Ogcocephalidae. The record is from RNAcentral.
AGGACCUGUGCCUGAAACUAAAGGGUCACUUUGAUAGAGUGAAUCAUGAGGGUUAAAGUCCCCCCGGCUCCUU